AUUGUAACGGACUCGGAAAUUUAAAUGAAAUAUAUGUAUUACAAAUAUCAAAUGCGGAAGCGUAAUAAAAAUUUUGAUUAACAUCCCUUACACAAUAAUCAAAACGUACUCAAAAUAUGAAAGAACAAACUAACAAAAAGAGAUACUCAAGAUAAGAACUAUAAAUAUAACUAUGGAGUCUUUAGGCGUCCCCUUCGCCGUCUUCCUGUGGAACGGGCUCGGGAACAAUGUCUUC
RNAcentral lists this long non-coding RNA (235 nucleotides) under Carica papaya (papaya). RNAcentral's name for it is "long non-coding RNA (CPAP_LNC015100)". Lineage: Eukaryota; Viridiplantae; Streptophyta; Magnoliopsida; Brassicales; Caricaceae. The record is from RNAcentral.